UUAACCUACGGGGCGCAGCAGUGGGGAAUAUUGCACAAUGGGGGGAACCCUGAUGCAGCGACGCCGCGUGGGUGAAGAAGCGCCUCGGCGCGUAAAGCCCUGUCAGCAGGGAAGAAAAUGACGGUACCUGAAGAAGAAGCCCCGGCUAACUACGUGCCAGCAGCCGCGGUAAUACGUAGGGGGCAAGCGUUAUCCGGAUUUACUGGGUGUAAAGGGGGCGCAGACGGCGAUGCAAGACAGGAGUGAAAGCC
Molecule: ribosomal RNA, 251 nt
Filed under: uncultured bacterium
Lineage: Bacteria
Description: partial 16S ribosomal RNA
Rfam family: Bacterial small subunit ribosomal RNA
Source: RNAcentral